RNAcentral lists this ribosomal RNA (258 nucleotides) under uncultured bacterium. Its description in RNAcentral is "partial 16S ribosomal RNA". It matches the Rfam family "Bacterial small subunit ribosomal RNA", at positions 524 to 776 of the family's 1533-position model. The record is from RNAcentral.
UACGUAGGGUGCAAGCGUUGUCCGGAAUUAUUGGGCGUAAAGAGCUCGUAGGCGGUUUGUUGCGUCGGCUGUGAAAUCCCGAGGCUCAACCUCGGGUCUGCAGUCGAUACGAGCAAACUAGAGUGUUGCAGGGGAGACUGGAAUUCCUGGUGUAGCGGUGAAAUGCGCAGAUAUCAGGAGGAACACCGGUGGCGAAAGGCGGGGUCUCUGGGGCAACAACUGACGUGGAGGAGCGAAAAGCGUGGGGGAGCGAACAGG